This 484-nucleotide ribosomal RNA is filed under the name uncultured bacterium. RNAcentral's name for it is "partial 16S ribosomal RNA". It matches the Rfam family "Bacterial small subunit ribosomal RNA", at positions 30 to 507 of the family's 1533-position model. The record is from RNAcentral.
AUUGAACGCUGGCGGCAGGCCUAACACAUGCAAGUCGAGCGGAUGAAGGGAGCUUGCUCCUGGAUUCAGCGGCGGACGGGUGAGUAAUGCCUAGGAAUCUGCCUGGUAGUGGGGGAUAACGUCCGGAAACGGGCGCUAAUACCGCAUACGUCCUGAGGGAGAAAGUGGGGGAUCUUCGGACCUCACGCUAUCAGAUGAGCCUAGGUCGGAUUAGCUAGUUGGAGGGGUAAAGGCCUACCAAGGCGACGAUCCGUAACUGGUCUGAGAGGAUGAUCAGUCACACUGGAACUGAGACACGGUCCAGACUCCUACGGGAGGCAGCAGUGGGGAAUAUUGGACAAUGGGCGAAAGCCUGAUCCAGCCAUGCCGCGUGUGUGAAGAAGGUCUUCGGAUUGUAAAGCACUUUAAGUUGGGAGGAAGGGCAGUAAGUUAAUACCUUGCUGUUUUGACGUUACCAACAGAAUAAGCACCGGCUAACUUCGUG